This 401-nucleotide ribosomal RNA is filed under the name uncultured bacterium. RNAcentral describes it as "bacterial SSU rRNA". It matches the Rfam family "Bacterial small subunit ribosomal RNA", at positions 358 to 776 of the family's 1533-position model. The record is from RNAcentral.
GGAAUCUUGCGCAAUGGGCGAAAGCCUGACGCAGCCAUGCCGCGUGAAUGAUGAAGGUCUUAGGAUUGUAAAAUUCUUUCACCGGGGACGAUAAUGACGGUACCCGGAGAAGAAGCCCCGGCUAACUUCGUGCCAGCAGCCGCGGUAAUACGAAGGGGGCUAGCGUUGCUCGGAAUUACUGGGCGUAAAGGGCGCGUAGGCGGAUCGUUAAGUCAGAGGUGAAAUCCCAGGGCUCAACCCUGGAACUGCCUUUGAUACUGGCGAUCUUGAGUAUGAGAGAGGUAUGUGGAACUCCGAGUGUAGAGGUGAAAUUCGUAGAUAUUCGGAAGAACACCAGUGGCGAAGGCGACAUACUGGCUCAUUACUGACGCUGAGGCGCGAAAGCGUGGGGAGCAAACAGG